RNAcentral lists this ribosomal RNA (254 nucleotides) under uncultured bacterium. RNAcentral describes it as "partial 16S ribosomal RNA". It matches the Rfam family "Bacterial small subunit ribosomal RNA", at positions 524 to 776 of the family's 1533-position model. The record is from RNAcentral.
UACAGAGGGGGCCAGCGUUAUUCGGAAUUAUUGGGCGUAAAGGGCGCGUAGGCGGCCAUGCGUGUCUUCCGUGAAAUCCCUCGGCUUAACCGAGGACGUGCGGAAGAAACUGCAAGGCUCGAGUCCGGAAGAGGGGGGCGGAAUUCCCAGUGUAGCGGUGAAAUGCGUAGAUAUUGGGAGGAACACCAGUGGCGAAGGCGGUCCCCUGGGCCGGAACUGACGCUGAUGCGCGAAAAGCGUGGGUAGCAAACGGG